AUUUUUGUCACCCUACUUUUCACACUUGAACUGGAUUAUUUACUGUUCAUUAUCAGGUUUUGUACAGUUGAGUAAAUAUAUUCUUUAUGCACCAUUUGUACAUUGGAGAAGCUAGCCAACGACAGAGAAACCAAAAUCUUUAUUCCUUCCAAGACCAUGGUGCUGUAAAAUUAGUAGACUCUCUCCACAAAUCGUAACUACCAUUUUCAUUUUGUCAUACUCCUCAUUUGUCCGUCGACUCCGACUCGGACAGUCCGACUCCUCUCUGUCGAGGUGUCCAUUUUACAAAGGAACCCCAAAGAAACCCCGAAGAUCGAGGAUCUUUGUCGGAGAGUACAUGAGGAACCAGAAGAUGCAACAAAGGGCAGAGACAUUUUAAUGAAAGGCCACCUGCUGAAUUCUUGACUCUGUCAAAUGUAGGAAAAACUAUGACAUCUUCUCUUCCAGAUAAUAUCUGAAGCAGAGGCAUUUUCUAAGUGGUUGAAAAAAGAGCUUCAAGCUUUGGAAGUGGCAAAUGUGCGUGUAAUUUUGGAGAACAAGCAUUAGUUAAUGAGGUACUACAGGCCUUCAGAUUGCUACUAAUUUUGUUCAGGACAUGGAUGAAUAGUUGGGUACAUUCAAUAUAAAAUUUCAAGAUAUGAGAGAGGACAUAAAAUCAGUUGAAGCCCCUAAUAACAAGCUGGAAAUACAUUCAGUAAACAACAAAUCAUUGGUUGAUGAACUUGAUAGCCUUUGAGAAAGAUUGUGCAUCCCUUCCCAGGUUUUAACAAAUCAUUCCCAAAAAAUUAGGAAAUUUCAACUGAAAUUGGAGUUUGACGAUGAAUUUGUGAGGUAUCGUGAUGAAAGAGACCGUGAGUCAUGGCUGAUAUGAAUGGAAGGUGUUUUUCGACGAGACCCAUAAAAAUUAACUUGGUUGCUAGCAAACAGAAUGUGGGUGGUCAGGCUAAAGUUAUGAUUUACCUUUCAUCCUUGUGGUACUUUUGUCAGCUUAUUAGAUGGCCGCAUAUAAUUGACUUAAACAGGCUGAAUUAGAUUUGGUUUUUGCAUGAUGUGAUUUGAUUCCUGAUUUUGGCAGUUCAAAUGCAUUGAUGGCUUUUUGUUUUAGAUAUAUUUUCAACGGUUGAUGCUUAUUCAACAAUGCUGUUCUUAAGUAUGCUUCCUCUCAGUUUUACUCUUGAAUUCUUAAAGUUGUCUCAAAGCGGGAUGUCAGAAGGCUCUAGGCAUUGAGCUAAUUACGGCUAAAAUGGUAACACUUUUAGUGCAUGUCAGUUUUAAUUUCAUGUUUCUUACUUUUGGUUCUAAUGAUAAUAAUAAAUUGUUUUACUCAAUACCCUUUUUUUAACUCUACAGAUACUAUAGGGUCCGUGCAACCUUGUUAAUGGUGUUUAUAAAAAUUUGUUGUUGUAUUCAGGAACCUUUGGCGUAGUUGACUAUACAAAUUACGAAGAUAUUAAAUAUGUUGUAUUCAUCUUGAAAGUGUUUAACCUUCUGAGCAUCCAUGAAUUUUUCCAAUCAAUUUG
Molecule: long non-coding RNA, 1520 nt
Organism: Olea europaea var. sylvestris
Lineage: Eukaryota; Viridiplantae; Streptophyta; Magnoliopsida; Lamiales; Oleaceae
Exons: 7
Source: RefSeq, a predicted model, not a curated record